CCUACGGGUGGCAGCAGUGAGGGAUAUUGGUCAAUGGGGGAAACCCUGAACGAGCAACGCCGCGUGAGGGAAGACGGUUUUCGGAUUGUAAACCUCUGUCCUCUGUGAAGAUAAUGACUGUAGCAGAGUAGGAAGCUCCGGCUAACUACGUGCCAGAAACCGCGGGAAUACGUCGGGAGCAAACGUUGUCCGGAUUUACUGUGUGUAAAGGUUGCGUAGGCGGCCCUGCAAGUCAGAAGUGAAAUCCAUGGGCUUAACCCGUGAACUGCUUUUGAAACUGUAGGGCUUGAGUGAAGUAGAGGCAGGCGGAAUUCCAGGUGUAGCGGUGAAAUGCGUAGAGAUAGGGAGGAACACCAGUGGCGAAGGCGACCUGCUGGGCUUUAACUGACGCUGAAGCACGAAAGCGUGGGUAGCAAACAGGAUUAGAUACCCGAGUAGUC
RNAcentral lists this ribosomal RNA (440 nucleotides) under uncultured bacterium. RNAcentral describes it as "partial 16S ribosomal RNA". It matches the Rfam family "Bacterial small subunit ribosomal RNA", at positions 338 to 795 of the family's 1533-position model. The record is from RNAcentral.